UGGGGAAUUUUGGACAAUGGGCGAAAGCCUGAUCCAGCAAUGCCGCGUGUGUGAAGAAGGCCUUCGGGUUGUAAAGCACUUUUGUCCGGAAAGAAAUCCUUGGCUCUAAUACAGUCGGGGGAUGACGGUACCGGAAGAAUAAGCACCGGCUAACUACGUGCCAGCAGCCGCGGUAAUACGUAGGGUGCAAGCGUUAAUCGGAAUUACUGGGCGUAAAGCGUGCGCAGGCGGUUUGCUAAGACCGAUGUGAAAUCCCCGGGCUCAACCUGGGAACUGCAUUGGUGACUGGCAGGCUAGAGUAUGGCAGAGGGGGGUAGAAUUCCACGUGUAGCAGUGAAAUGCGUAGAGAUGUGGAGGAAUACCGAUGGCGAAGGCAGCCCCCUGGCAAGUACUGACGCUCAUGCACGAAAAGCGUGGGGAGCAAACAGGAUUAGAUACCCUGGUAGUCCACGCCCUAAAACGAUGUCAACUAGUUGUUGGGGGAUUCAUUUCCUUAGUAACGUAGCUAACGCGUGAAGUUGACCGCCUGGGGAGUACGGUCGCAAGAUUAAAAACUCAAAGG
RNAcentral lists this ribosomal RNA (562 nucleotides) under uncultured bacterium. RNAcentral describes it as "partial 16S ribosomal RNA". It matches the Rfam family "Bacterial small subunit ribosomal RNA", at positions 355 to 907 of the family's 1533-position model. The record is from RNAcentral.